UAGGGAAUCUUCCGCAAUGGACGAAAGUCUGACGGAGCAACGCCGCGUGAGCGAUGAAGGCCUUCGGGUCGUAAAGCUCUGUUGUUAGGGAAGAACAAGUACCGGAGUAACUGCCGGUACCUUGACGGUACCUAACCAGAAAGCCACGGCUAACUACGUGCCAGCAGCCGCGGUAAUACGUAGGUGGCAAGCGCUGUCCGGAAUUAUUGGGCGUAAAGCGCGCGCAGGCGGUCCUUUAAGUCUGAUGUGAAAGCCCACGGCUCAACCGUGGAGGGUCAUUGGAAACUGGGGGACUUGAGUGCAGAAGAGGAGAGUGGAAUUCCACGUGUAGCGGUGAAAUGCGUAGAGAUGUGGAGGACACCAGUGGCGAAGGCGACUCUCUGGUCUGUAACUGACGCUGAGGCGCGAAAGCGUGGGGAGCGAACAGGAUUAGAUACCCUGGUAGUCCACGCCGUAAGCGAUGAGUGCUAAGUGUUAGAGGGUUUCCGCCCUUUAGUG
This 498-nucleotide ribosomal RNA is filed under the name uncultured Bacillota bacterium. RNAcentral's name for it is "bacterial SSU rRNA". It matches the Rfam family "Bacterial small subunit ribosomal RNA", at positions 355 to 845 of the family's 1533-position model. Lineage: Bacteria; Bacillati; Bacillota. The record is from RNAcentral.